RNAcentral lists this ribosomal RNA (597 nucleotides) under Triticum aestivum (bread wheat). RNAcentral describes it as "partial small subunit ribosomal RNA". The record is from RNAcentral. Lineage: Eukaryota; Viridiplantae; Streptophyta; Magnoliopsida; Poales; Poaceae.
AUGCAGCAAGGAAGGCCCUUGGCAUACUACAGCUCAUCCUUGUGUCCCAGAAAUCAAGCUCUAUCUACUUAUGAGAAAGAAGCACUGGCAAUACUUGAAGCUCUUAAAAGACGGAGGCACUAUUUGCUUGGAAAUGAGCUCCUCAUCAAAACUGAUCAACAAUCCCUCAAAUUUAUUACUGAUCAGAAAAUAACUGAAGGAGUGCAACAUAAAUUGAUGAUGAAAUUACUGGAAUUCAACUUUAAGAUCCAGUACAAAAAGGGCAGUACUAACAAAGUGGCUGAUGCACUGUCCAGAAUUCUCCCCUCUUGCAGAGCAAUUUCUAUGGCCACUCCCGUGUGGGCACAGGAACUGGUAGAAGGUUAUCACAAAGAUCCAAUCUCUAAGGGAAUAUUGGAGAAACUGUUAGUACACCCGGACAGCUGUUUGCCUGAUUAUACUCUCACAUCUGGCAUCAUAAGAUAUAAAGGAAAAAUAUUGGCGGAAAUUUUUCCUAACCUAAGGAACAGAUUGAUAACUGCUCUGCACAGCUCUCCAAUUGGGGGCCACUAUGGAACAAGGGCAACUUAUCAGAGAAUUAAAAAUAUUUUCUAUUAG